Molecule: ribosomal RNA, 250 nt
Filed under: uncultured prokaryote
Description: partial 16S ribosomal RNA
Rfam family: Bacterial small subunit ribosomal RNA
Source: RNAcentral
UACGUAGGGAGCGAGCGUUGUCCGGAAUCACUGGGUGUAAAGGGUGCGCAGGCGGGAACGCAAGUUGGAUGUGAAAUGUACGGGCUUAACCCGUGAACUGCAUCCAAAACUGCGAUUCUUGAGUGGAGCAGAGGUAGGCGGAAUUCCUAGUGUAGCGGUGAAAUGCGUAGAUAUUAGGAGGAACACCAGUGGCGAAGGCGGCCUACUGGGCUCUAACUGACGCUGAGGCACGAAAGCAUGGGUAGCAAAC